GGACUACUAGGGUUUCUAAUCCUGUUUGCUACCCAUACUUUCGAGCCUCAGCGUCAGUUACAGACCAGACAGCCGCCUUCGCCACUGGUGUUCUUCCAUAUAUCUACGCAUUUCACCGCUACACAUGGAGUUCCACUGUCCUCUUCUGCACUCAAGUUUCCCAGUUUCCGAUGCACUUCUUCGGUUGAGCCGAAGGCUUUCACAUCAGACUUAAAAAACCGCCUGCGCUCGCUUUACGCCCAAUAAAUCCGGACAACGCUUGCCACCUACGUAUUACCGCGGCUGCUGGCACC
Molecule: unclassified non-coding RNA, 293 nt
Filed under: uncultured Lactobacillaceae bacterium
Lineage: Bacteria; Bacillati; Bacillota; Bacilli; Lactobacillales; Lactobacillaceae
Description: contains 16S-23S intergenic spacer region
Source: RNAcentral